RNAcentral lists this transfer RNA (72 nucleotides) under Gilchristella aestuaria (Gilchrist's round herring). Its description in RNAcentral is "tRNA-Gly". It matches the Rfam family "tRNA". Rfam says of the family: Transfer RNA (tRNA) molecules are approximately 80 nucleotides in length. Their secondary structure includes four short double-helical elements and three loops (D, anti-codon, and T loops). The record is from RNAcentral. Lineage: Eukaryota; Metazoa; Chordata; Actinopteri; Clupeiformes; Clupeidae.
AUCUUUCUAGUAUUAAUGUCAGUACAGGUGGCUUCCAACCACUUAGUCUUGGUUAAAAUCCAAGGAAAGAUA